Molecule: transfer RNA, 76 nt
Filed under: Pseudomonas putida
Lineage: Bacteria; Pseudomonadati; Pseudomonadota; Gammaproteobacteria; Pseudomonadales; Pseudomonadaceae
Also listed under: 1 other name
Description: tRNA-Ala(ggc)
Source: RNAcentral
CGGUAACCUGGUCGGGGCGCAGACGCUGGCUGGCCUCCAGAGGGUGGGCCAGGGGUUCGAUGCCGUUGGUGUCGAC